UCCGGUUGAUCCUGCCAGAGGCCGCUGCUAUCCGGCUGGGACUAAGCCAUGCUAGUCUAGGGGCUUGUACCCCUUCGGGGGUGCAAGCACCGGCGGACGGCUCAGUAACACGUGGACAACCUGCCCUCGGGUGGGGGAUAACCCCGGGAAACUGGGGCUAAUCCCCCAUAGGUGAUGGGUGCUGGAAUGCCCCAUCUCCGAAAGCGCUCAGCGCCCGAGGAUGGGUCUGCGGCGGAUUAGGUAGUUGGUGGGGUAACGGCCCACCAAGCCUAAGAUCCGUACGGGCUGUGGGAGCAGGAGCCCGGAGAUGGACCCUGAGACAAGGGUCCAGGCCCUACGGGGCGCAGCAGGCGCGAAACCUCCGCAAUGCGGGAAACCGCGACGGGGUUAGCCGGAGUGCCCGUGCAUUGCACGGGCUGUCGGGGUGCCUAAACAGCACCCCAUAGCAAGGGCCGGGCAAGGCCGGUGGCAGCCGCCGCGGUAAGACCGGCGGCCCGAGUGGCGGCCACUCUUAUUGGGCCUAAAGCGUCCGUAGCCGGCCCAGUAAGUCCCCCGGGAAAUCUGGUCGCUUAACGAUCAGACUUCCGGGGGAUACUGCUGGGCUAGGGACCGGGAGAGGCCGAGGGUAUUCCCGGGGUAGGGGUGAAAUCCUGUAAUCCCCGGGAG
RNAcentral lists this ribosomal RNA (666 nucleotides) under uncultured archaeon. Its description in RNAcentral is "bacterial SSU rRNA". It matches the Rfam family "Archaeal small subunit ribosomal RNA", at positions 1 to 655 of the family's 1478-position model. The record is from RNAcentral.